Cercocebus atys (sooty mangabey) is the source of this 6237-nucleotide long non-coding RNA. RefSeq lists it as uncharacterized. The record is from RefSeq and is a predicted model, not a curated record. NCBI's taxonomy places the organism in Eukaryota, Metazoa, Chordata, Mammalia, Primates, Cercopithecidae. The transcript has 3 exons.
CUGACAACCCACCUCGGAUGCCCAGGGGAAUGAGCUUCAUUUCCUGCCUUGUAACCUGAGCCAGGUCUUCCUCCAGCCCCUUGAAGAUAUGGUUAAAACGUUCUUUGUCAAUCAACGAGGUACCUGAGUCACAGAGAGGUUGAGGAACUUGCCCAAGACCACACAGCUAGUAAAUGGCAAAGCCAGGAUAUAAAAGCAAGCCCUCUGCCUCCAAAAUGCCCAAGAGCAGCUUGCCAAGUUGAGAACAAAUCAUUCCUUAUGGUCCAGUUAACUUUGACUCACUGGCUGAAAGGGGAUUACAUGACAAAGUCAAGAUGAUCAAAUGAUGGGAUUGGCCCAAGGCAAUAGCAUGGUGAAGUCAAAGUGAUCAAACAAGGAGCGGACCCUUCUGAGUCUCAACCAGAAUCACUCGAGAGCCAGGGGGCUCAGCUAGGGUCUUGGGGCAGGAAGCUCUGAUCUCCAGUCAUCCAAUGUGGUCAGCAUUCAUUGAAAUGGAACAGCCGAUCCUGGCAUAACAGUAAUCUGUAGCUACCCUUUCUGUAUAAGGGCAUUUUAGUCUCCUUAAAACUGGACUCAAAGUUCAGCUAUGAUUCCGAUGUAGUGUUUACUAUAUUUGGAGAAAAUGUAUGGAGUGUUGUUGUUUAUUUUAUUUGUCUGAUCCACCAGAGGCCCUGUUUAGAUUGUAUCAAAUUAUGCUUUCCCAACACUUAUUCCUUCCUUUCCCUUGUGGCUUUAUAGACAAAAACAAACAGCAAGCAGCAGGCAGGUGUUCUGUGUUAGGUCCUAGGGAUGGUGCUGAGAAAAGUGGGUGCAGUUCACAUAUCCUUUAGCUGGAGCCAGGGCCCCUGCUCACUCUGCACACCGCCCACUGGGCGGUUGAAAGUCUGUUGCACUGACGUGUCUUGUUAGUAAAUUCCUGACGUCGUGGACCAUAUGGGAAGCAGGUAGGAUUCACUAGGGCAGUGAGUCCCAGAAAGUGAAGGAACUGGGUCUAGAGGAAGGCAGUGGUACAUCUCUAGGCUCAGGACUCUGCUCUAAGGAGUCUGCCAGGCUCUGGGCUCCUUCCUGUCACCAUCAUGCUCUUCCUCGGAGGUAGCUGUCAUGGCCAGUAUUUAUUGUGCUGUCCAUACCCAGUCCAUCUGCUCUCAGUUGCCACCCAAACUACCCAGCCCCACUGCCUGCCUGAAAUAAAAGAAAAACUCCAAAUCCUUUGCCAGUUUCAAGUGGUGAAGAGGGCUGAAUCCAUCAUAGAUUUGCCUGUGGCCUCUAAGCAGCCCUUUCACCAGUAGCCAGAAGGAGGCAGAGGAAACACCAGGCCUGAGGAGGUGGGUGGCCUCCUCUCCCAGGCCUGACUCAGUUGUCCCCACUCGUCUAAUGGGUCAGUCCCAGGAAGGUCUGCAUCCACCUGGGCACCUCCCACCUCCAGCUCUGUGCUUGGCUCUUCCAGCCCGUGAAGGAGCAGGCACUGUGAUUGGCAUCCUGCCUUAGGGAAUAAUCUGAAAGUGUUGAAAAUGCAAAGGAAACAGUGAACGCAGAGUCCACUUCCAGGAAGCUUCCCGUUUAACUGGGAGAGAGGACCAAAGCACACCUUCCCAAGAAAACUGGACUUAAAAUGCUUCGUAACCAAAAAUACGUAAGGAAGGAAAAAAGUUUCGUGGUUAACAUCAACCCCAAACCAUGUGAAAUGCCGAAUGCUGUUUCCCCUCGUGGAACGGGCCGUGUUGACUGAGUCCUGCAUAUAGCACCCUGUUGUGACUUUGUUUACCUACCUUUGCUUAAACUUGCUUGGCCUUGACACCCUUUCUCCAAGCAGCAUCUCUUCAUAUGAGCUCCAAAGACCCACUUUGGGAAAUACUCUUCUAGAUGGAUCUCGGACCUUCCUCCUGCAAAGAGGUAUCAUAGGGACAAGGGGGAGUGAACGAAGGCACCCACUGCUCUCUUUCUAAUCUCCCCUCCGUUUAAUCCUCAGCUGCUCUGAUUUGCAAAUUUCUUAAUGAUAAAGAGGUAUCUUGAGCUACCUGACACUCAGCAUAUUUGGUUUCUGUGUUCCGACUUGCAAUACCAAACCAGUGCGUGGAGCCCGACCCACGCUGGCCCUGGUUCCUUGGUUAUGCCACCUUCUUCUCUGCAGUCUUCCAGGGGACCUUGUCCUUGGGAGGAUGCUUUCGCCAAGGGACCCACCUCUCCUCUGCUCUCCUUGGCCCAUUGUGCUGUUCGCCCUUCUCUUUCUGCAUCUCAUUCCUAGCUCUGCGUGUUGUUCUGGUUCCCAGGGUGACGGACUGCUGUUUAUCCCCUUGGUAAACUCCACUUUUCUCUGUUGGUGCCGUGGCAACCUGAGCCACUUGCUCUACAAAUCACAGCCUAUUUAACCGAGCCCUUGUAUUAGUUUAAAAUAGUUUUUGGAGGGUUGUACUUUUUUUCAUGAUAAUAAUUUUUUUUUAAAUCACCUGCUUUGCUUUUUUUCGAUGAAAAGUAUUGCUUUCCUCUGUCUCGUAGCUUCUCAAAGGGCAGAAAGAGAACAACUCCAAGUGUGGCCCACAUUCCAAGGGAAUUGUGUACCACUUGGUGCUGAAGUACUGAGUUCCCAUACAGGGUUUGCCUUCGUCCUGUGCUGAAAUCCGUGAACCUGUUGGGGUUAAGAUCAAAGAAGGGGUUCCCGCUGAAGCUGCUUCCUGAAGAGUGUUUCCUUUUCACACGCGUUCUGCUAAAGGUGAAGUCAGUAUAGGUACGCACUGAGCAUUCAGACUAGGCAGGAGGAAGAUUAGGGAGCCGUAUUUACUGGAUCGUGUGUAGCAUGUGGGAUUUGUGUGUUUCCCAGGGUGGAGAUCUGCUUCACUGCAGAGACUGGGGAGGGUAAAGUUGGAGGCCAGCAACAAACCCUGCCCAGCCAGAACACUGAAGGCAUCUCAGUGAGGGUCUUUGGGUUUUGUUGUUUGUGUUGAGGUCCUUCCUAAAUGAUGCAGAAUUUUCCUUGAAAGGUGGGAAAUUGUUGCCAUGAUGAGAAGCAGAGAAGUUGAAAAGUGAGUCCAUGCGUGCUGAUGGGAUGAGAGGGCCCGUUUUUCUGAGCCUGGGACGGGGCCUGCGUUCAGGGUGGCCUGGACAGCCUCACUCCCUUCCCGUGCUCUCCUGUGAGGCUGCUUGUGACCUAGUCACCUUCUGUGUCAAGUCCUUCCUCUGCAUGACCUCUGGGGUGAUCUGUUAAACCCACCAUCCCAGAUUCUUCAGUGCUGUUCUGCCGACCCACUGCUGCAUAACAACCCACUCCAAAACGUGGUAGCUGAAAAUAAUGGUUUAUGAUGAUCUCUUAACUCUCAUGCUUCUGUGGACUGCCUGGACCCAGCUUAGAGGGUUUUGCCUGAGUCUCUCAGGUGGUCACAUUGAGAGGUUGGCUAGACCUAUAGCCAUCUGAAGACUUGAUGGCCCAGAUGUCCAUGACAGCUCACGCACGUGCCUGGCCUCUCACAGCUGCUAUCAGCUCAGCUGGAGCUGCGGGCGGAAGCGUCUGCACACGGCCUCUCCAUACAGCCUGGGCUUCUCCCAGCGUGCUGGUUGGCUUCCAAGAGGAAGCUCCUAAGAACUCAGGCAGAAGUUCCAGGAUCACUUCUGCCACAUUCUGUGAGUCCGUCUUUGGAAGAUGCUGUCUGCUUCCCAUCACCUACCUCCAGCUGAAAGCUUCAGCGUCUAAGCAAAGCUGCAGGGGCCUUUGAGGACCAAAGGGGGCAAACCAAAUACGUCUCCAUCCGAAAUGAAAAUAGCUUUGUUGAGUUCCAACGGGGGAAUAAAAUGUAGAGACUUAACAUUUAGAUUUCAAACUUGUUGCAUAGAAAAAUGUCAAGGGGAAGUUUGGUGCUGCUUUUCAGCUCCUGAAAUCCUGUCUUCUUGGCUUCUCUGAGAAGUUCACGAAGCUUAGACAGCUUGGUAAUUUUCAUCCUUUCCGUGUGCUUGAUGUGUUUAGAGACAACAGUGUGCACUCACAUGCAUGGCCGCAUUUCAUGUUGUCAUCAUCCUUGCACAGAUGGGAAACUGAGGCUCAGAGAGGCCUCUUGCUUUCUCAAGUUAUUGGCGGAGCUGGGGCUGACGUCGCUUCAUCUGCACAGGGCCCUGUUUGUGUGUCUGACCCGACACCUCCCUGCCACUCCUCUCUUCCUCUAGAAAUAUGAAGUAGGCUCUUCCAUGCCUUCCUGCCUCUGCUCACGCUGUUCCUCCUCUAGGAAACCCUGUCCCUACACACACACCUUCCUCCACUCCUGACUCAUGCUCAGCCUUCAGGCACAGCCUCGGAGGCCAGCUUGGGCAGGGGUCUCCUAACUGCACCCUCUCUGCAACAGCAAGAGUCCCCUUUUUUCCUCUUCCCACAGUGAAGUAUUUCAUGCUUGUCUCUCCCCUAGUCUGUGAACCCUCAGGGUCUUAUCUCCUGCUGUAAAUGUGAAUUAUUAUCAGUUGUUAACUCAUCCUUGAGAAACCGUUUCUGUUCCUCACCCCUUACCUACAACCUGUAAUUCUAAUAUUCUGGCAGACUUCAAGCUGCCCUGCUACUCUGGCAGCAAAAGUCUUCUACUAAAAUAGAUCACCCAUAAACCACCACUGAAACUGAGCCAGGGAUUUGGUACGAGUUCAAAAGUAGAAAUUAUUUUGUGUUAAUGAGAAACCAUAUUGCAAAGACUUGGGAGGAGCGGAAAGAUGGAACGUAUCAGCUGUUAGAUUUAAACCAGAUCUGUUUCCAGCGUUAAUGUAGGGAAUUCAUCGUAAUACUAGUUACCAUAAAUAAUUUUUAAUUGGCAUAUGUAUUGGUUAGAUGCAUAUUUAAAGUGAAAACAUGAAAAAGGAGAUGCUGUUUUCGUCACUUGUUUUUGGAUCGGCACCUGCCUGCUCCGGGUGAGAACUUGUUCCGAUGGUGUGUCUGGAUCAGGACCAGCAAUGAAAAGGUUAGACCCUGGGCGUGGCACCAGCUCAUGCGGCAGACAUCAAUUGUCAUGUCCAGUCAGGUUAUGCUUUUUCCUUCCAUUCUGAAUGUUACAUCUUCUCGGACAUUGUAUGUCCACACCUUCAUUCUCCCAUGUGAACAGAGCCUCCCACAAAUUAUAAAUAAAGUUGACAGUAAGAACUGACUGGAUUAAACAAAAGGUAAACAGGUUUCUUUUUAAGGCACCAGGAACUGUAGAAGACCUACAGAAAUAGGAAUGCUGCCAUCCUUGUGCCUUGACCUUGAGAAUCAACUUGGGUUUCUUUCUGAUUGUUACUAGAAUGCUUCCUGAAUGCACAAACAUGGUGUACUUUUAUUGCAUGGCACCUCAGAGCAUCUUAAAGAUUUUAAUUAAUUAAAAUACCUUGUGAGUCUUCCGUUGAGAAGAGAAGGCAACAUGACCCAAACAGAUUUAACCACAAACCCCUGCCCUUUGCUUUCCCCUCACAAAGCACUUUCCUAGAGUGAUGCUGGAGUCUGUCUGUAACUUCACAGUGAGAUGACUUGUAUGACAAGCAUAAAGUGUACAAGGUCCACACAGCGGUGGGGCUCAGAACCUGGAGCUUUGGAGGCAAAUACACUGGAGUUUGAGUUCAUUUCUUAGUUAUGCAGCUUACUGACUCAGUGAUUUGGGACAGUCUUUAAAAAUCUCCCUGAGACCUGAUUUUCUCAUUGGUCAGAAGAGUUGAUGAUGUGUAUCUAAUAGAGUUGUGAUUAUUAAUAAAGUAAUACGUGUAAAGAGCCUUGCAUGUAAUCCUGGUUACAGUUUCUUCAGUGACUGCAGAGGUAGUAGUCAGAUUAGAUAUAUUAGUGAGUCAGAGAAAUUAGAUGUCAGCCUGUUCUUUAUGAAGCUUGCUUCUUUUAGCCAUGCGUUUCCUCUGUUUAAUAAAAUUGGUGAUUACAUUUGAAUCAAGUUUUUGAAUAUAAAACUCAUUAAAGGAAGAAUGUGUCUCAUUAUCUUUGUAUGUAUCUGACCAUGAGUAGUUAAUAAAUGUUUAUUACAUUUAGUGGAAAGUUUUUAAUAUUAAAAUUAAUUUGACAUCUGUAUCUAAUGCAACAGACUGUUUUGUCAGUUGUUAAAUGAUGGAGAAUGUUAGUGCAUUUUUUGGGGAAAAAAAAGAGUUGGCGUAUAGUUGACUUUCAUUAUGUGUGAGAGUUGUUCUCUAGAAAUUCACUGCAAACACUAAACCAUUGCUCCUAGGAGAAACCCAGGGUUACCUUCCUGUGAGUCUCUGGUCAAAUCAUUUUUGUCAUUUUUGCAUAGCCUUGUUUUA